AAAACAGGAGAAUAAAAGCUACAGUGUAGUGCAAGAUAAGAAUAAACAAACAAGUUUUAUUUAUUAAAAGACAGCAACAAACAGAAAAGUCUUCAGCCUUGUUUUAAAAGAACUGAGAGUUGCAGCAAGCCUUGUGUUUUCUGGGAGUUUGUUUAAGAUAUGUAGUGCAUAAUAACUGAAUGCUGCUUCUCCAUGUUUAGUUUGUUUUCAGGUUAACAUAGAAUCUGAGAAACCUGGUUAUUCAUCUCCCUGUUUACAUGAUUCUAACAGUGUCCAGGUUUCUGAUUGUCUGUGUCUAGAUGUGCCCUGAUUCCUCAACCUGUCAGCCUCUCAUUUCUCUGCCAACAGAGAUUGUUCAGAAACCUGGAUAAUGUCUUUACAUGCCACAGUAUCCUGGUUUAUGCUGGGGUACUACAGACAGCAUAUCCAGGUUUUUGAAACCAGGAUAAGGUGUUUAAAUUAUAUUUAUAAACACAUAAGCAGGAUAUUCCAAAAACCUGAUCCUAACCUGAAUACUGGUGCACAUGUUAACACACUCUAUUGUUUGUAUAUGUUUGCUUACAUGAUAAUGGUCACAUUCAUUCAUCUCCAUUUAACAUUACACUGUCCAGUACACUGUGAUGCAAGGUUGGGUUACCAACCAGCCAAAGCAAGCAACUGCUCCAGGAUCCCAGACACCCAGGGGGCCUCAAAAGUCUUCCAAAGUCCCAAAGUCACCUCAUAUCAGUUGUUUUUUGGUAAUUAAAUUAACUGCAAAUUAAUCAGGGAAUUUGCACCACUAAAGCACAAUAUCAACUCAGGCGGGUCCUGCAGUCAUAGCUAAUUUUGACGCUCUUUCUUGAGGGGCUCUGUGUGAAAAUAUGGUUUUGGGAGCUGUAUUAUUUUAGUUCAUCGUGUGCUCACAUGGCAAACACAUUCCUAAAUUAAGUUGUUUUCAUAAAACUAGUUUAUCCCUGGGUGUCUGAGAAUAUUAUAUAGCAUAUAUGGUGUUUUCACUGCUCUUGACAACUUAAAAGUUGAGUGCUUUCUCUCUUUUUACAAAGAAACAACAAUUUCAUAAGCACUUAAGUCUUACUUUACUUCAUGGUCCUGUAACCUUAUUGCAUUUUUGUCAGGUGGAAUUUGAAACUGAGUACUGUGGCACUUCAUUUUAUUGGGUAAUUUUAGUUCCUAUACCUGCUGUUGUACGAUGGACUGUUGUGAGUGUAUCUGGGAAGUUUGAUGGUGGCUUGACUACACUACACCUCAAGAAUUUAAAGGCAGG
This is a long non-coding RNA of Thunnus maccoyii (southern bluefin tuna), 1264 nucleotides long. RefSeq lists it as uncharacterized. NCBI's taxonomy places the organism in Eukaryota, Metazoa, Chordata, Actinopteri, Scombriformes, Scombridae. The record is from RefSeq and is a predicted model, not a curated record. The transcript has 3 exons.